Molecule: ribosomal RNA, 402 nt
Filed under: uncultured bacterium
Lineage: Bacteria
Description: bacterial SSU rRNA
Rfam family: Bacterial small subunit ribosomal RNA
Source: RNAcentral
UAGGGAAUCUUGGACAAUGGGCGAAAGCCUGAUCCAGCCAUGCCGCGUGAGUGAUGAAGGCCUUAGGGUUGUAAAGCUCUUUCGCCAGGGAAGAUAAUGACGGUACCUGGAUAAGAAGCCCCGGCUAACUUCGUGCCAGCAGCCGCGGUAAUACGAAGGGGGCUAGCGUUGUUCGGAAUUACUGGGCGUAAAGCGCACGUAGGCGGCUUUCCAAGUUGGAGGUGAAAUCCCCGGGCUUAACCCGGGAACUGCCUCCAAAACUGAAAGGCUAGAGUCCGAGAGAGGUGAGUGGAAUUUCCAGUGUAGAGGUGAAAUUCGUAGAUAUUGGAAAGAACACCAGUGGCGAAGGCGGCUCCCUGGCUCGGUACUGACGCUGAGGUGCGACAGCGUGGGGAGCAAACA